This 1374-nucleotide ribosomal RNA is filed under the name Triticum aestivum (bread wheat). RNAcentral's name for it is "partial small subunit ribosomal RNA". The record is from RNAcentral. Lineage: Eukaryota; Viridiplantae; Streptophyta; Magnoliopsida; Poales; Poaceae.
UCGCCGGUGAACUAUGAGUUCGAGGUGCACGCCAUGAGCGCCGAGAAGCUGCCCUUCAUACUCCCCGCGGUCUUCACCAUCGGCCCCAAGAUCACAGCUGCCGGGGGCGAGGAGUCGGACAGGAAGGACCUUGAGGCGCAGCUCCUCCUGUACGCCAAGCUCAUCGCGCCGCUGCACAGCUCGAGGAGCCACGUCCCGGAGCUCGUCAAGGGGAUCAUCGAGGGCGAGACCCGCGUGCUCGCCGCGGAGCUCACCAUGGAGGAGAUCUUCAAGGGCACCAAGACCUUCAAGGAGAAGGUGUUCAACCGGGUGCAGCUGGAGCUCAACCAGUUCGGCCUCAUCAUCUACAACGCCAACGUGAAGCAGCUGGUGGACGUGCCGGGGCACGAGUACUUCUCCUACCUCGGCCAGAAGACGCAGCAGGACGCGGCGAACCAGGCCAAGGUGGACGUGGCGGAGGCCCGGAUGAAGGGAGAGGUGGGAGCCAAGGAGAGGGAGGGGCUGACGCGGCAGAACGCGGCAAAGGUGGACGCCGAGACCAAGGUGCUGUCGGUGCGGCAGCAGGGCCAGGGGCUCAAGGAGGAGGCCAAGGUCAAGGCCGAGGUGCAGGUGUUCGAGAAUGAAAGGGCGGCGGAGAUCGCCGCGGCCAAGGCCGAGCUUGCCAUGAAAAAGGCCGGGUGGGACAAGCAGGCCAAGGUGGCCGAGGUCGAGGCGGCCAAGGCCGUCGCCAUCCGCGAGGCCGAGCUCCAGAUGGAGGUCGAGCGCAAGAACGCCAUGCGCCAGACCGAGAAGCUCAAGGCCGAGCAGCUCAGCAAGGCAACCGUGCACUACGAUACACAGGUUCAAGAAUCAAAUGCGCAACUCUAUAGCAGGCAGAAGGCGGCGGAGGCAAAGCUGUUUGAGCAGAUGAGGGUGGCGGAGGCGCGCAAGGCGCAGGCCGACGCGCACUUCUUCGAGCAGAAGAUGGCCGAGGACGCCAAGCUCUACGCCAAGCAGAAGGAGGCAGAGUCCGUGGGCUUGGUGGGCAAGGCCAAGACGGAGUACGUGGCGUCCAUGCUCCAGGCGCUCGGUGGCAACUACCACGCGCUCAGGGACUACCUCAUGAUCGACGGCGGCGUGUACGCCGAGAUGGCGCGCAUCAACGCCGGCGCGGUCAACGGCAUGCAGCCCAAGAUCAGCAUCUGGAGCAACGGCGGUGGCGCGGACGGUGCCGGGAACGCGGCCGGAGAGGCCGCAGCUGGCAGCGCGCUGCAGCAGGUGGCCGGGGUGUACAAGAUGCUGCCGCCGCUUCUGUCCACGGUGCACGAGCAGACCGGGACGCUGCCGCCGGCGUGGAUGGGUGCACUGCCCAAGGACGAUGCUGCUACCAACUGA